AUGGCGUGGAUCCUCCUGACACGUACUGUUCUUCCUCUCUCUCCUUUUCUUUUCCCCAUUCUUCCUCGCGACCGCGGCUGGCCUAAGCCGGGAUGGCUCGACCACGGUGGGGCGGCGGCAGCGGCGCAUCGCCGGGGUUCACCACCGACGGCCACCUCCGUCUGCCAGCUCACCCCGUCCCCGCCUCUCCUCCCCGCCGUCCUCGCUUCCUGCAACGGCCGGCGCGGGCCGUUGGGGCGCAGCCGGAGGUGUCGUGCUCCCGCCGUGGCUGCGAUCCUGCCCCGCCCUCGCGCCUGGCUAUAUGCUACAUACACGCCCACCGCGCUGCUGGCGGCAGUAGGAGGCGGCGUGCCCGGCGCGACGCACUCCACGACGGCGGCGUGUCUACCCCCACGCUCCCGCUUGGCUAUACGCCGCGUACGUGCCCACCGCGCCCCGCGCGGUGCACCCCACGGCGCCAGUGGUGGACCUUGCCGGUGGGUGAGGCUGAGGCAGCCGACGUGCGCGGUGCUGGAGGGGAGGGCAGCGAGGAGGCUGGAGAGGGAGUGCUCACGGAACGGCGACGACACACGACGGCUCAGCCGUGGCGGAGCUCGGCAGCUCGGCGGUGGCGCAACGAGAAAAAGAUGAACCGAGAAAGAGGAAGAAGAAGAAUAGAGAAAGAGAGAUUGACAAGUGGGACCAUGGGCAAACUUAUCUUUAACCAAAGUUUCUCUCUUCAUUUUGACCGUAAAUAAUAAAAUAAUGGGAGGAGUGUCUAGUAGCUAAUUACCACUUUUUUUAGUGUCCACGAGCAAAUACACGAUCUUCGAGUGUCCCACAAUAAAGGUCGCAAUCUUUCGGUGUCCUGUAGCAAAUUUUGCUUAAAGAUUUUGAUACAAAUUAGCCCACAAUCAUAAAUUACCAAAUUGCCCUUGAUUUAUCGUUGUCCUCUGAAUGCUUGAGAAAAACAAUGAAUUGUUUACUUGCACUCAAUUCAAAUGGGUGGACCAGAAUAAUUCUUUAGAAGUACUAAUGACCUUGAAAAACUAACAUGACAAACUUUUUGGGACAUCUUAUAAAUUGCAAAACAACCAUCUUUAUAUGACUGAGAAAGUACUACAAUUUAUCAUAAACUUGAUAAAAUAUAAACAAAUUCAAUUAAGAAAAAAAAUCAAAAUGACUAAUAAUAAUAUAAGACGAAGGAGUACUCUAGAACGUUUCCGUCGUUGUUUGCUCCGCCACGAGGGCGCGCUACACUCCCGAUGUCACGUGCGCUGCCCUCUCGAUAGCACGAGACGAGGUCGCGUUGGCGUGAUACGAUACGAUCACAUUCACUACACACGAGUUAAAAGAAAAGAAAAAAAAAAAACACCUCCGCCUCUGCCGUCCCGUGCCGCCCCAGCCCAAAGCUGCCCGCGAGGCCGCGUCGUCGUCGUCUCUAUCCACAUCCCGCGCCACGCCCCAGGACGAGCGGAAAAAAAGAUUUCGCCCCCAUCCGCCGGGCACUCGCGCCUCGCGAGCCGCGUCCACCUCCGCGCGGGCGCCACGCCACGCCACGCCCACCCAAACAGCUUCGCUCGCCUUCCUCCUCUCGGCCCUCGCCGCGUCCACCCCCCCCCGAUCGAGCCGCCCUCCCCCUCCGCCUCCCGCCUCCGCGCGCGUUUAGGAGGGGGUCGGGAGGCCCGAAGCUGGGCCGGCGUCUCCGCCCCGCAGGGUCCGGGAAGGAGAGAUAGGGAGAAGGGUCCUCGGCUCCUCGCGCCGCGUGCUUUGGACUGGGAGUAGCUGGUGCUAGAAGUAAUUUUUGGAAAUGGU
Molecule: non-coding RNA, 1794 nt
Organism: Oryza sativa Japonica Group (Japanese rice)
Lineage: Eukaryota; Viridiplantae; Streptophyta; Magnoliopsida; Poales; Poaceae
Source: RefSeq, a predicted model, not a curated record